CCAAAAGGAACUCAUUAACAGAACAACACGAAUGAACUCAACCAACCCUUGAACUUCAUUCUCAUAUCUAGGUUUUCCCAACAUAAGGUUCCAAACGAUAUAAUGAUUAUUUAGCUGAGGCACACCAAAACACUAAAUAAGGCAAUAUAUGAUUAUUUAGCUCAAGUCCUUUUCUGUAAGAAAUUGAAAGUGGAAACACUCAGCAUGCCGAGGAACCGGCCACCUUAUGCAAUUGUGACAAAGUCAUCAACCACAACCCAUCUACAGUCGUGGAAGACCUGAUCAAGGAUAAAUUUUUCUUAGAAAAAAGGAAAAAAAAAUCUCUUUCUUAUAUGUUGUCUCUUUUCUAAUUAAAGCCAAGAUAUAGACAUCCCAACCAUUCUAAUUUCUAAUGCUCAUCCCACUUAUAAAUUUCUCUCUCUCUUCUUCUCAUUUGGUCAUAUCGUUUAUGUAUUUUUAUUCAACCACUUCUGUCUGUCUAGACAUGGUAUUCCUCUUUUCCUCCUACCUCGAAGAUGCUAUCCACAGAGACAAAGCUGACAAAAAGGAAAACAUGUUAUCUAUGAGAUGAGGUUGAGGUUCUUUUUUAUUUGGGAUCCCAACAGUAGAUGAAAUGAGAUGAACAAGGGCAGGAUCCAUGCUAUACCUUUUGAUUGGUAAUGCUAGACCUAUUCCAAUUUUUGAUUGCUUUUUAGAUGAUAGAGUAGAUGGAGGGCCUCUGAGUUUAGAUCUUUUCACAUUCUUUGCUGGGGUGAAGUUUCUGUUGCUGAAGUAGAUCAGAUGCUGUGGUUUUAUUUUAAAUAAAAAAAAAAAAAACAGAAUAACAUAGGACAGCAGCUGAUGUUCUUCCAAAAUCAGCAGCCAGGAAUGUUCUGAAGAGACGAUUGCUUCUAUGAAAAUGGGGGUAGCAAAAUUGAAGCAUUCCACUGGAGGCUCUGAUGUUCUUCAUAGCAAAACUAUGUUCUUUUCUACAAAAGUACUAUGGAAGAAAGAAUUUACAGCUCCAGAUAAGAAAGUUACUUCUACUGUCCUUUGUUAAUAAAGACGAAUGUAUAAUGUGAAAGAAAGAAAAGUAAGAAGAAGAAGACAAUUCUCCCACCCAAUCCAUCGUCAUUGUAAUUUCUCUUCUUGACAUAAAGGACAAGACAAAAAGGCCGGCUUUCUUCUAAUUCAAUUGUAUUGUAUUGCUGGGGGUUCUUCAGCUCUCACAAAUUCUAUUAAUAGCAAAAAUAACAUUCCUUAAACAUUUCAUUA
Long non-coding RNA from Benincasa hispida (wax gourd), 1254 nucleotides. RefSeq lists it as uncharacterized. NCBI's taxonomy places the organism in Eukaryota, Viridiplantae, Streptophyta, Magnoliopsida, Cucurbitales, Cucurbitaceae. The record is from RefSeq and is a predicted model, not a curated record.